Long non-coding RNA from Juglans microcarpa x Juglans regia, 1592 nucleotides. RefSeq lists it as uncharacterized. Lineage: Eukaryota; Viridiplantae; Streptophyta; Magnoliopsida; Fagales; Juglandaceae. The transcript is spliced from 2 exons. The record is from RefSeq and is a predicted model, not a curated record.
UAUAGAUUUUACCUGACCACUAUGUUCUACAAGAUCCAUUGUUGUACAAUUUAUGAUUUGUUUCGCUGUGGAUCCAAAAGCAACUACUGUUGUUGAUGCGCUAUCAUCAUAUGCUUCUAGAUACGCUCAACAUCUAAAAUUAAUGAACAAAUUAUUAUUUCUUAAUGUUAACAGUUAAUAUGUUUUAAUUAUAAUGUAAAAAUUUGUAAUUUUAGAAUAUCACAAGAAAUGAUUACCUGUGUUGUGAGAUCAUCAUAUUUUUGCAACUAUAACAAAUGAAGUUCUCGUCCUUUUCGUAUCUAGUUGCUUUAUUACAAUUUCUGCAGGACAUGUAGUAGAAUGGUUGAUGUAAAUCAACCAUUGAAAAUCUUCCUUUAACCAAAAAUGUUGGCCACUGCGUUAAAAUGGAGUAGUUAAGUGCAUCACAUACUAAUAAAAAAUAGAUAUUUAUGGAAAUAAUUAUUAUUUAAAUAUAGAAGUAAAAUAAUUUUUAAACAGAAAUAAGAGAUAUGAUUUUAAACAAUAAAAUUUAUGACAGUUUCUACAAUUUCAGAGAUAUUUAUUAUUGGGUCAACAGAGCUGCUUGAAACUGAUCCACUUGGUGUAUCGAAAUUGUUUCCAAUUAUUUCUUCGAGUAAUCCAUCAUUUUGUGUUGCCCUAAGAGUUUGGAUUGAUAAUUAAAGUGAAGUAUUAAAAUACGAGAUAAUACAUGUUGGAUAUAUAUGGUAGUAUAUUAUAAAAAACCAAUAUAAAAUUUAUAUUCUAUUUAAAUGAGAAAUGGAAUAAAGUUUUUUAGAUAAGUUGUUUACCAUGUACGCAAUGCAACAACAGAUGGAAGAAGAGGCUCGAUGGUGAAGACACUCGUCAGUCUUGAUGACAAAGAUAGACCUACAUUAUAAAUAUGUACGAAUAAAUAUACAAAUAUACAAUGGAUAAUUGAUAAGAAUAUUAAUUCUAACGGGAACUACCAUUAUAAGAAGAAACUCUGAUUCGUAUUUCCAAAAUGAUUGAUUUUGCUAAAAUAAGGUUAAAAAUUUCUUGGCAUUCAUCGUGAGCGAAUCGAUUCCACAUCGUUAAACGCAACAGUUUUAGGCUAUCAAAAUUAUAAGCAGAAUUAAAUUUCUAAUAAUAAGAGUAUUAUAAGAUAUUAAAUUAAAAACUUGAUAAAUGUAAGCGGAAAAGCUUACCUCUUUUACACUCAAUCAAUCCUAAGAACUGUCUUGGCGAUUAUACUGGCAGUGAAUGUUCCCUUAACUGCUGAAACUCAGUUCAUAAUUUUUUGUUUGUGAGAAAUAGAAUGAGGUCAUUCAAAUUGUUGUAACUAGAUAACUAAGGCUGGCGUGCGUCAAUAGACCUGGUCAAACAACCACACACUCACAGAAAAGCUUGAUGAAUCUCUUCGAAGUUACAUGGCUGGUUGCUGAAUUGCUGUUACUAGAGUCUUCUAACGUAAAUUAACGCAUGAAAAAUUUAGCAGUUAGCAGCGCUAAAGUGGAUGUUGGCUAGUGAUUGCAAAUGCAUCUCUUGAAUGUAUGAUACUCUAUAUUCUGAAAUGGAACAAAUAAUCAAUGUGUUUCUGACUGAUUGUCACA